Non-coding RNA from Phascolarctos cinereus (koala), 394 nucleotides. NCBI's taxonomy places the organism in Eukaryota, Metazoa, Chordata, Mammalia, Diprotodontia, Phascolarctidae. The record is from RefSeq and is a predicted model, not a curated record.
CUUUCUCCCAGAACAUCCAUUCUAAGGAGAAUACUCUGGCCAACCAUGUCUUCAUUCCUCUCCAUGCUGUACUCUUGACUCUUUGGACUUUUUCCUCUACCAGGGCCCUGAUUUGCUCUGGGCUUUGGUGCAACCGACAUGGUAUCAUCUGCAGCAUCAGUGAUAGUAUCCCAAUCACAGGGAAUCUCUCUUCAACUGAACUCUGUGCUCAAUAUGUACCACAAUGGUGAACAUUUCUGAAUAGUAACCCGAAGCCCAGACAGCCAAAGCUACCUGCCUGAGGCCACACACGUAAGAAAUAGCAGAUCAAGGAUCCCCGCCGCACCCUGUGACUUUAAGUACGUUGCUCUUUUGAAUAGCAAGGCUGUUUUCCAUGAGAAAUGUUUAUUUUGAA